RNAcentral lists this ribosomal RNA (432 nucleotides) under uncultured bacterium. RNAcentral's name for it is "partial 16S ribosomal RNA". It matches the Rfam family "Bacterial small subunit ribosomal RNA", at positions 29 to 506 of the family's 1533-position model. The record is from RNAcentral.
AACGAACGCUGGCGGCAUGCCUAACACAUGCAAGUCGAACGAGACCUUCGGGUCUAGUGGCGCACGGGUGCGUAACGCGUGGGAACCUGCCCUUAGGUUCGGAAUAACUCCCCGAAAGGGGUGCUAAUACCGGAUAAUGUCUUCGGACCAAAGAUUUAUCGCCUUUGGAUGGGCCCGCGUUGGAUUAGCUAGUUGGUAGGGUAAAAGCCUACCAAGGCGACGAUCCAUAGCUGGUCUGAGAGGAUGAUCAGCCACACUGGGACUGAGACACGGCCCAGACUCCUACGGGAGGGAGCAGUGGGGAAUAUUGGACAAUGGGCGAAAGACUGAUCCAGCAAUGCCGCGUGAGUGAUGAAGGCCGUAGGGUUGUAAAGCUCUUUUACCCGGGAUGAUAAUGACAGUACCGGGAGAAUAAGCUCCGGCAAACUCCGU